CCUGGCGGCCGUAGCGCGGUGGUCCCACCUGACCCCAUGCCGAACUCAGAAGUGAAACCGCCGUAGCGCCGAUGGUAGUGUGGGGUCUCCCCAUGUGAGAGUAGGGAACCGCCAGGU
RNAcentral lists this ribosomal RNA (117 nucleotides) under Morganella morganii. Lineage: Bacteria; Pseudomonadati; Pseudomonadota; Gammaproteobacteria; Enterobacterales; Morganellaceae. The record is from RNAcentral.